Molecule: long non-coding RNA, 2207 nt
Organism: Carassius carassius (crucian carp)
Lineage: Eukaryota; Metazoa; Chordata; Actinopteri; Cypriniformes; Cyprinidae
Exons: 3
Source: RefSeq, a predicted model, not a curated record
UACGUGUGAAGAGCUCAUGUCCUUCAGCAUGAUGAGCGGAGCUGACUCUAAACCAUCUAUAUUAUUAUUAGAUACAGCAACAUUCAUGCUGAAAGAAAUGUUUUAGUGGGGGAUUUCCAAGAAACAGGGUGCAUUUUCACACCUGCCUCUUUUCACAUCAAGAAAUAUCAGUCCAGUGAGCGUCUCAGACACUUUCAGAUCUUCGAGACUCUUUCAUUCACACGAGCUCAAGAACAACACAAAGGAUGAGAUCAGAGGCUCUUCUCUCGCUCCUCUUCAUUCUGGCUCUAAGUGACGGAGCGGAUCGACAGAACAACGGCCGAUAUGCUGAGUUCAAGAAAAAACAUAUUCUCCCAUCUGAUUUCCAAACAGAUAAUGAAGCUGCUUGGGAGAAACACCUAAUGAACAAUGAUCUCUGUGGUAGAACUCCAGUACAAUCCUUCAUUAAAGACAGUGAAGAAAAUAUUAAAGAAAUCUGCAAUGGCUCUGCUUCUAAAACAAAAGAUAACUAUUACAAAAGUAAAAAUCUCUUCCAAGUGUUCAAUAUUAAAAGUGAAAACAGUACACCAAAGAUGGUAGAAUUGGGGUGCAAAUUUAGAUGUACUACAGCCAAAUAUCAUGUAAUUGUUAAAUGCGAUAAAUACCUACCUGUGCACUAUCAUGACCAACACAUUGAAAAGAACAAGAAGCCAUACCCUUGCUAUUAUACAGCAUGAUUUGGUUUUAUCACAGUGGGGCUUGAAAUGGUGCAUUCAUUAAAAAUGUUGCUAUGCCACAUGCAUGCUUAAAUGAUAUAAUUGUUUCAGAUUUAUUUGCAUUACGCAGUAUUAUAAAAUGAGCUGACCAAAUGUAUGGCUCGAAAGCAAUGUCGCUUUGAAUAAAAUCUCCCAAAUGCAUGAACACAUCUGUUCUUUUGUGAAAUCAUUCUGAUUAUCUUUGAGAAACAAGCUAUGCUUUUCAUUUCCUCAUCACAUCCGAAGUCUCGUUCUGUCAGACCCGCACAACUUCUCACAUGUGGCUGUUCAUAAAAACACAUCACUUCAAUUUAUUAAGGCAGAAUCUCAAAGAAGCAAAAAUGCCAAUACAUUUUGCACAAUGGAAAGAAGCAAAAACAAUUAAGAGUGUGUUUUCACUCUUGCCUCUUUUCAACCUUAUCCGCAUCAGUCCUUUAAUUCACACGAGCUCAAGAACAACACAAGAGUAAUUCUGCAUUCAGUACAAAUGUGGUUAAAAUGUAAACAGUUUAGAUACUGAAGGGUCUAAAUAUAUAUAAUAUGCAUCUGAUAAGUUUGACUAUAAUUUUGUUAUAGUACCAUAUAGUUCAGUAUUUUGCUGAGGACCCUUUGCAUCAAGAUAUGAAGCUUCUUUUCAAAGCUUUAGUUUGAGUUAGACCGUGCAGUAAAUGCUGACGUCAAACGGUUCACGAGGGAAGAAACCUUGUCAAGACAACUUCACACGCUCUUAUUCUUUCACAGCACACAAUACUGAAGAGCAAGAGACUCGUCUAAACAGUCGCUCUAAUGAACAGGAUGAGAGCGGUGGUUUUGCUCUUGCUCUCUUUCACACUCAGUGAUGGACUGAAUAAUGUCAGUUUCAGCAACGAUCGACUGGAGAUGUUUUCAGACAUUUCUUUUAACUGGGCACAACCCUGCCAGAGAUCUCGGGAUAACAACGCAUAUGAUCAUUUUAGACAGAGACACAUUCUCUCGCGUCAGUUCAACACCAGACGGCCAAGCGCCUGGGCAGAUUAUCUCACGGGAACGAAUCUUUGCGGCAGAACUACUUUACAAUCCUUCCUCCAUAAAAACAACAUCGAUAGCAUUAAGAGAAUCUGCAACGGACGAGGCGUCAGAGACAGAGGAAACUUGUGCAUCAGUAGGAGGACAUUCACAGUGUACAUUGUUGAAAGCUUUUUGAGAAAUGGACGUUGUGAAGUUAAUAGACUUCAUGAUGGUAAAUAUUACGUGGUUGUUGCUUGUGAGGUCAUUGAAAACCGAUGUUUGCCUGUGCACUAUGAGAGACAACGUGACACUGCUCCGUCCCCAAGAGGUCAGAUCUGCAGACCGCAGGCAGAGUUUUAGAAAUCUUUAAUCAUUAAUUAUAUUGUUGCUAUGCUACAUGCAUGUUUAAACUGGAUAUGAUUCCAGACGCUUCUCAGUAAAAGCUUUCUUAGCAGAGAACAAUUUGGUUUUAUGAUCAAAUGUGAA